This 73-nucleotide transfer RNA is filed under the name Apaloderma vittatum (bar-tailed trogon). It matches the Rfam family "tRNA". From Rfam's summary of the family: Transfer RNA (tRNA) molecules are approximately 80 nucleotides in length. Their secondary structure includes four short double-helical elements and three loops (D, anti-codon, and T loops). Further hydrogen bonds mediate the characteristic L-shaped molecular structure. tRNAs have two regions of fundamental functional importance: the anti-codon, which is responsible for specific mRNA codon recognition, and the 3' end, to which the tRNAs corresponding amino acid is attached (by aminoacyl-tRNA synthetases). tRNAs cope with the degeneracy of the genetic code in two manners: having more than one tRNA (with a specific anti-codon) for a particular amino acid; and 'wobble' base-pairing, i.e. permitting non-standard base-pairing at the 3rd anti-codon position. The record is from Rfam by way of RNAcentral. Lineage: Eukaryota; Metazoa; Chordata; Aves; Trogoniformes; Trogonidae.
GGCCAGUUAGCUCAAACAGUUGAGCAUGGCGCUAACAACGCCAAGGUCAUGGGUUCGAUUCCUGUUCAGUCCC